RNAcentral lists this transfer RNA (72 nucleotides) under Streptomyces lacrimifluminis. RNAcentral's name for it is "tRNA-Arg". The record is from RNAcentral. Lineage: Bacteria; Bacillati; Actinomycetota; Actinomycetes; Kitasatosporales; Streptomycetaceae.
GCACGAGGUGCAGGAGCUGGUCCAGCUCCGGUCCGGGCGGAUCCGCCUCGGUGCGACGCCGAGCCUGUGCAC